CUGUCCCAGCUCAUCAGUCAGCACACUUACAUUUCUUAGGCCUUCAGAUUUUAAAAAGACUAUACUGACCCAUAAAAUCUAGUAAGAUGAAUGGGUAUAUUUUAUGAUUUUAUUUUUUACAGAAUAAUAAUAUAGGUUUGAAAUGUUUGAAAACUUUUCUUUGCUCACAACUUCCAGUGUGUAGAAUAGAAUGUUUCGUAGUACUUUUGCCUUUUCCUUUCAUUUUGGUGAAAUCAAAAGAAAUGAGUGCAGCAAGUACCUAUAAGUCAUUUAAUUAAUGCCAUUGUUUUUUUUUUCCCAAGGAACCUGUAAGAUAGCUAAGACUGUGUGGUGUUGUGGAUCAAUACCCUUUCAGCUCAGAAAACCCCUAUUCACAUUUGGAUAUGAUCUGCUCGUAACAGUGUACUGGAUUUGCUUCUCUCCUUAAGAACCUUUGUGUCCAUUGCUAAACUCAUUGCACAGUUCAGUGAAAACUGUAGUGUCUUAUCAACAGAAGGAAGGGAGACUUUAAUGGGUGUAACAGCUUGAGAUAUAAUGAAAGUCUUGCCAAAAAUGCAAUGUGUCAAAGAGUUUUGAAGACCUUCAUAACCUAUUUCUGAAAUUUAUCCCAGCCAGCAGCAUAGGCAGUGUGAGACACCCAAAAACACAAAGACCCUGUCAUGAUAGUCCCUGCACGGUGCACAGAGCAGGCCACACCCAUUUGUGCCUGUGUAAAGGAAUUUAAUCACUAAGCAGAAUUCUUCCUCUUGAGAAGAAAUAAGUCCAUUAGGUCAUCACCUGCUUCAUUACAGAGGAUUAAAAAAGAGGGAACAGAGAAUAGACAUACAGAUUUAACUGCAGGCUUGACUUUAGAACUGUUGGAUAAACUAUACCUUUCUUAGCCAUAAGGUAAAAUUGGUGGCUAUAUACCAUAUCCAUCAUCCUAGCACUACUCUCUCUCUGAUCAGCAAUUUCUGCUUAAUUGUUUGUGUACAACAGUCUUUCCUUCUGUGACACCUGAGCCAUCCUGAGACAAGCAUAACCUACGAUAUCUCCAGACUCUGUACAGGUAUAGAUAUACAUGUAAUGAUCUGACUCAGAGCUCAUCACCAGCAAUCUGUUUUGAAAGCUGUCUUCCAUUUAGUCUGUUUAGUAAUAAGAAUCAAUAAAUGGUUAUGGGUGGUCCUGGCCCAUGUCAGCAGUAUCAGUCUCAUUUUCAUUUGCAAAGACACCUUCAUGUGUCACGAACACAGCACUUCUUCAGGGUGAUGCUGAGGUGUAAGAUGUCCGCAGCAAAGUGGGCAUCAAUUCUAAGAAUGUCUUGAGUGACAUGGGACUGAUCAUCAUCCUGGCAUGAAUAGCUACUGUCUCAGAAAUGUAUGAAUAAUAUACCGUAAGCAUUGGUCAUUUGUCAAUUUGGUGUCGUGGAAGAGACAGAACCUAAACCAGUGUACAUUAAUCUUUUGGGGACGGUUCUGGAAAAAAAAUAUCUAUAAUUGUGUUGAACAACACAGCUUGAGUCCCUUUCCAUUUCUGGACCAUUUUGGGAAGUUAGAUUAAAACAUGAGAAAUACUUUGUAUUAAAAUUAUUUUCAUGGAGUAACAAACUGAACAAUAAUGCACAAGUUACGGUGCAUCCAUCACAUUGGUGAAAUAAUAUUUGAUGUAUUAAAUAAAAUGUACCUAUCCCCUUCCUUUUUUCCUGUGAAUAUCUAUCUUUUCCCAUAUGCAACUCUGAAGUUUUGUUAUGCUCUCCUACAACCAGUACCUCCUUAUUAUCAAGUAAAGAACAAGCCAAGUGAUAAUGCCUUUUUCCUUCCUCAGCUACUAUCAAAACAGUGCAGCAACCCCAGUCACAAACUCAAGAGUCUUUUGACAGCAGCAAUUAAGCAACUUAAUUAAUGAGUGAAUAAAAAUGAUAAUAUUUACUGAAUGGGAGCAUCCUGUUUUGCAUUUUUAUUCAAACUGUGCACCUGAAGAAUACCACUGAGUAUACUACCUCCUCCCCUUCUGCUUACAAGCUCUCUUCAUUUUUUUUCCCCACACUAUUUUGACUUUGAAAGCACCCAAAAAGCUAUUGUAUGCCUAGACACAGGCAUGAUGCUGAGGCACCAAAUAACUCUUCCAGGCAGCUGAGGGGAAUAUGCUGCUACCUUUGCUAUGGUUUUGCUGACCCUUAAAACUUGGCUUAUAUUUAAGGGACAAUUUUCAUGGUGCAUUUGUAAGCUUGAAAUUUAUAUCAGAAUAAGUGAUUAAUUACUGAUAAAUGGCUAAUAAAGCAUUAAUGCAUUUGUUAAUUAACAACUUUUAGACUUACAGUGCUUUCUACCCUCUUUCUCAACAUGUUUCACAUGCAUGCAUACAGACUUCUGUUCCCCUAUAUUCUUUAUUUGACUGUUAAUCUCUUCAACCUUCAUAUAUUACAUGCAUACACAUAAAUAUAUGUUUUAGUCUACAUGGGUUUUCUCAAUGAAAUAUAUAACCCAUCUCAACUGCAAGUAAAGCCCCAUACAUAAUUAUUUUGGAAUGACAGACAGUGAAUUCCUUAGCUAUUAUUUUUGACGACCCUGUCAUGGAUGCCAGGCAUAUAUUGUGGUAAGAGCCUGAGAAACUUGGGAAAACCCACCUGGGGAGAAAACUCCUUUUUUCUUUAUGGAAAGGUUCCCCAAGUGACAGGCCUGCAAUCCUGGGUGAGCUUAAUUAAAGUCAAUAGAGAAAACUAAAGCAUUCAAAAUUGCUGCCUUUGGGGCUUCCCCACUCUUCUUUUUCUUCAUUUGCUGACACUUUUAAGGGUAAGGUGCAUUUUAAAUUCCUUAUUUGGGGCUUGGGGCUCAGUUCAUCACAUUCCCCUUCUGUUCUGUAUCCCACAUUAAAUCUCCCUGACACUUCAAAGUGUUGUUUCCCAUGAUUUAUGGCUAACUAAUGCAGGUGCACUGGGCCUCCUGUGAGGUGCUGAAUGUCCUCUUUGACAUCAGUAUUAAUGAAUGAAGUUUUGGCAUACAAAGCCAGGUGAGGCACAUUACCUAAAAGUGCAGAUAGGUAAACUGAGGUACCCAACAAGACAGCAGUGAAGCCAAAAAAAGAAUUUAACCUUGUUGGCACCCAGAGUUCUGCAGUAUUUGCUAUGCGUUUUGUAGUAUGAGUUGUGCUGAGAGUAUCCCCUUGGGAUUUUCUAAAAUGUGCCUAACCAGACUUUGUGACCCUAGUCCUACCUCAUUUCUUCUCCUCUCCAGAGGAGAAGGAUGCCAGAGAUGCACCGACGCAGCAGAGCUGGGAGUACACAUGGAAGAAAAAAGGUCUUUGUGUAAUAGGAUCUUGACCAUCUGCUGCACCUGCCGUUUCAAUCCCUUGUCUGUUUUGAAUCAUACAUUGUCAAAUGUCACAAUUGCUACCAGGCCUGAAGCUUGGAUUAGUUCUUGAGCUUGUAAUGCUUACUUUUGAAAUGAAUGGCAAAAUGCCUACUGACUUCAGCACAAGCAGAACUCAAGAACUGACAGCUACAAGCACCUUCAUUUGCACCCCACCCAUAGUGGAAGAAUAUAUUGGAAGUGGUGUCAGCAACAGCAGUGGGACUGGGGCAUUCGUGACAAACUACCUUUGGGGUUUGCUUUUGGAAUAAAAUCCUCAUUUACCAGCCUCUGGUAAUGAGGUGGCCACAUGACUUUAGAGUGAAGGCAUUUUUAUUAGGGCCUAAUGGUAGAUAUUGUAAAUGAGGUUUGUGAAUUAAGAAAACACUUUGAACAUUCAAGUGAUCAAAAUCUUUGAUGAUAAAGAUGGGUGUCAGAAAUUCCCCAGUUCCAAUUGUUGGUCCCAUAGCACUUACAUGAUUCACUACAUGUUAAUCUAGCUGUCUGUACAUUUAUUGUAGAAGUAACUGUAUGGUGGGAUGAUAGUAAUUACGUAUUCUGUCCUCCACAGCACUCAGAAAUGUAAGAGGUGUGCUAUGUCAGGAGCAGGGGAAAUUGAAAGUCCAGUAAGUAUACCUUACUGGGGUUAAAAAGAGAGCUGCUUUUCUUGCUCAUGGAGCUGGAAGGGGCUAAGGUGAGGAGACCCACUCAGAUUCAUAGCAAUAAGGGCUCUGUGCUGUCUGGUAUCUCAGUUAAAAAAAAAAACAAAAAAAACCCUUCCCAUUCUGUUGUGGGAUAUCUGAAUCCAGCAAAUCCAAUUCUCAUCUGUUUGUAUUUUAAACUGAUCCAGACCAAGUAUCUCCUCCUUUCCCUGCUCCCUAGGCAAACAGCUCACUUCUUUACUUCCCUCCUGGAGGAAGGAUAUCAACGCUGAAAAGGUUAAGUGGGCUGCCUUAUGAGUUGGGAUGUUGUGAAAUUUACACUCAUUAGCUUCUCUGGGUGGCCAUCAGGAAUUUAAUUAACAUCCUUGACAUGGGUUGUGAUAACUGGUAUUGUGGCUUCCAGAUGCCCAUUGCUGAGAGACAGAGAUUGUACUUGUGAAGAGUGACAGCAUUCAGGAAUGUGCAGAGGCUUUGUACUCUGUCUUGCGAGAAGAAAGACAGCUCUGGUUGCCACCUUCUUCCUGUGGGAAAAAAAGGAAGAAAAAAAAGGCAGCCUUUUUGCAGGUAGCCUUGCUCAUGACAGUAACAUCACGUCUGUUUCUGCCCUUGUCAACACAUCUCACUGUCCACAAUCACUCAUCAUCUCCAGACAGACAGCACUGGAGGAGAUCAUCAAUUGCCAAUGCAAUUCAGCAGAUACACUUCAUAAAUUUUAAUUACAUUCCCACUGAAAAUGAAUGGUCAGAAAAUAUAAAACAUCUGCCAUACAGAUCAUUUACAUUUUUCAUACAAUAAAUCAUUGGCAACAUCCAAAACAAUGGAUUAAAUCAUGUGGAGUGUGAUAGGUCAAGAAAGAAGAAACGGCACCCAUCGUGUGAUUACUGUUUGGACCAAAGCCAUUACACGGUGUACAGUAUCAAGGAAAAUAAAAACAUUAAAAAAUAGUAACCAUUUGGACUUGUGCUCAUAAAUAAAAGAUCCCUGGUAUCAGAUACACCCUUCUAAUGGAUCUAUUACUGUGUCUCUGGAAAAAUGAGGGAUUGUUUAAGUAAAAGAAUAUUUAGUUAAUUAAGAUGGAGGGAAAUGAGCAUUUAUCAAUUGAGUGUCUGGCCUAUUUAGCUUGUAAAUAGAAUAAAGAAGUGAUGUCAGUGGAAAAUAAUCUGUUAAUCAGGUUUAACUAAUAUCAUGACUGUUAAAAUAAAGCAAUCAACUUUGUCUUCAAUAGCGUAGUGUGAAAUCCUAGUGUGAGAUCAUCAAACAGUAUGUUCAAAUCAUGUAUUUUACCUGACAAAGCAUCACCACACAGGUUUAACAAACCAGGUAUGGGACUCAGAGGGGACCUAUUACUACAUCCUUUCUUUCUCUGUUUGGCAAGGGAGGCAGCUCUGAUCGUGGUGGUGCAGUGAUGGUCAAUGAGCCCUGCCCCAGGAGUCCUGUUGUUGCUGUCUUCAUAUCUGCUGAGUUGAAGUCUGGAAGCAAAACCAGCAAGCUGUAAUGCAAAGCUCCCAGUACCUCUGCCUAUCCUGGAAAUAAAAGAUAUUGGCAGACCAGUUUCCCAUUGUUUUCAGUCUUUGGCCUCAACAGUGCUCAUCGGUAUAUGGUAGGAUAUGGGAUAGUCCAGUGCGCCAUUUCCUUCUGGCUUUGCCCUCCACCAAAUUAUCCACUGCCCAUUGCUUCCUCCUAGACUUUCACAGGAGUGCCUAGGGAAGCCAAAUUACGCUCCUAAUGUGCUGCCUGGCCCAGCAUAUAGAAGAGCGUAUACUCUACAUAUCCUUAAAGGAAAUAUCAAUUCUACUCCUCUGUUCAGGGAGUGCUAGGGCCUGCUUGAACUAUGUUAAGCCCUCCUUAUACUUCAGAUUUACAGAUUUCAUGAGGCUAGUUGAGGGCAUAUAUUCCCAAGAACUCAUUCAAUCAGACAAAACCAAGAUGUUUAGGAAGUUCGUCCAGUCCUUAAGUGACUUCAGCAUUUUUUUCCUCAGUGCUCCUCCAUUGUGAAACAUUUCCUGCAAAACGUACACAGGUUGAAGAGAAAAUUCAAAAAGGUGUGUAGGCUCCUAACAUGUCACUCCAGCAGAAUGCAAUUGCCUAAAUUGAUGUCAUCCAUCUGAUUCCUUACAUAUCUGAAGAUCAGCUCAGGUAGGUACCUAGAAGUUUCUAACACAGCUCUGGUGCUGGUGACUUUCUCUGGAUCAAGCCCAUGCUGUUGACAGGGCCUCCAGAUCACCCCCAGCAGCUGAGCUUUGGUUUGCGUCCAGGAUCAAGGUCAGAACGCACCAGCUGGCUUCCUCUUGGGUAAAAUCCAUCUGGAAAAAGCACUCUGGGAGCUCACUGAACAUGCCCAAAGCACACAUGGGUGUCUCAGCCUGAUGGGACCAGGCUGCACUAGUCCAGAAAGAGUGCCCUGGAGGAUGUGUACCAUGGCCAUGUGGGGCUCACUCCCAGCUCUUUUGCUGAACACAUCUGCUCCUAUUGGUCUGUGUGACAAGUGCAGGCACAGCCACUGUAGCUGUGCACCUCGUCCUCUGCAGUCAGAGCUGACUGCAUGUGCACAUACGUGCGUGGGGCCGUGUCACCCGCAUGUGCGUGCGUGCACACAUGUGUGCACGUGUAAUUUAUCAUUUUUUUUGUGUGUGACACACCAAAAAUAAUGUAUGAGCUCCCUCUGCUGCUUUAUACAAAGAAAUUAAUCAAGAAAAUUGCUUGCAAAGCUGAGAGCAUUUUAUUCAUAUCUUGCUGAUAAUGCUGUAUGCACAAGUAAUACCAAAAAUAAGUGUGUAUUAUGCUUGCAAAGCACUGUCCAAACAU
Long non-coding RNA from Taeniopygia guttata (zebra finch), 6793 nucleotides. RefSeq lists it as uncharacterized. Lineage: Eukaryota; Metazoa; Chordata; Aves; Passeriformes; Estrildidae. The record is from RefSeq and is a predicted model, not a curated record.